GAUGAAGAACGCAGCGAAAUGCGAUAAGUAAUGUGAAUUGCAGAAUUCAGUGAAUCAUCGAAUCUUUGAACGCACAUUGCGCCCGCCAGUAUUCUGGCGGGCAUGCCUGUCUGAGCGUCAUUUCAACCCUCAUGCCCCUAGGGCGUGGUGUUGGGGAUCGGCCAAAGCCCGCGAGGGACGGCCGGCCCCUAAAUCUAGUGGCGGACCCGUCGUGGCCUCCUCUGCGAAGUAGUGAUAUUCCGCAUCGGGGAGCGAUGAGCCCCUGCCGUUAUACCCCCAACUUUCCAAGGUUGACCUCAGAUCAGGUAGGAAUACCCGCUGAACUUAAGCAUAUCAAUAAGCGGAGGA
This 348-nucleotide unclassified non-coding RNA is filed under the name soil metagenome. RNAcentral describes it as "partial contains 5.8S ribosomal RNA, internal transcribed spacer 2, and large subunit ribosomal RNA". The stretch from base 1 to 120 matches the Rfam family "5.8S ribosomal RNA", at positions 35 to 154 of the family's 154-position model. The record is from RNAcentral.